GAUGAAGAACGUAGCGAAAUGCGAUAAGUAGUGUGAAUUGCAGAAUUCAGUGAAUCAUCGAGUCUUUGAACGCACAUUGCGCCCCUUGGUAUCCCGAGGGGCAUGCCUGUUCGAGCGUCAUUUCACCACUCAAGCCUGGCUUGGUGUUGGGCGACGUCCUCUUUGGGGACGCGCCUCGAAACGCUCGGCGGCGUGGCACCGGCUUUAAGCGUAGCAGAAUCUUUCGCUUUGGAAGUCGGGGCCCCGUCUGCCGGAAGACCUGCUCGCAAGGUUGACCUCGGAUCAGGCAGGGAUACCCGCUGAACUUAAGCAUAUCAAUAAGCGGAGGA
This 329-nucleotide unclassified non-coding RNA is filed under the name soil metagenome. RNAcentral's name for it is "partial contains 5.8S ribosomal RNA, internal transcribed spacer 2, and large subunit ribosomal RNA". The stretch from base 1 to 120 matches the Rfam family "5.8S ribosomal RNA", at positions 35 to 154 of the family's 154-position model. The record is from RNAcentral.